CACGCUGUAAACGAUGAGUGCUGGGUGUCUUGGGUAUUGACCCCCGAGGCGCCGUAGCUAACGCGUUAAGCACUCCGCCUGGGGAGUACGGUCGCAAGACUAAAACUCAAAGGAAUUGACGGGGGCCCGCACAAGCGGUGGAGCAUGUGGUUUAAUUCGACGCAACGCGCAGAACCUUACCAGGGCUAGAAAAGGUAGGAACCCGGGAGAAACCUCGGGGUGCUCGCAAGAGAGCCUACAUCCAGGUGC
Molecule: ribosomal RNA, 249 nt
Filed under: uncultured bacterium
Lineage: Bacteria
Description: partial 16S ribosomal RNA
Rfam family: Bacterial small subunit ribosomal RNA
Source: RNAcentral